Molecule: long non-coding RNA, 12159 nt
Organism: Dromaius novaehollandiae (emu)
Lineage: Eukaryota; Metazoa; Chordata; Aves; Casuariiformes; Dromaiidae
Exons: 2
Source: RefSeq, a predicted model, not a curated record
AUAUUUUCACUGAGUGUUUAUGAAGCUGCCUCACCCUUUUUUGCAUUCUUGUGGUAAGCGUUAGAAAUAGAAAGAUGUCUAAAUGUUUUAAUUUUCCUUAUACACAUUUUCCUGUUUCCUUAAAGGGUGCUUAGAAUUGUGUCUGUGUUAAUUAGAUAUUUUAUGGAUUGACUGUACACAGGUCUGAGGUUGUUGCUGUAAAGUGUUUAAAGGAAAGAUGUACAAAUUCUUCUGGAAGCGUUUUGCAAGCUGAUUUUAUGGGGGACAUUGGGAAAUAAGUUUUCAUUAGCUUUUAUAUAAAACAUGUAUCUCCAGGCUUAAAAGAAUUCUGAUUUUCCACUGCAUUUAAACAUGAACGACAAGACAUAUCUGACUGUGAAUGCCAUGAAAGAGAAAUGUAAUUUACUACCCUGAGCUAUAUUUUGUUUUCAGUUACUGUAGAAAGGAAAGAAUCGUUUUAUGAAAUAACCAUUUGUGAACAUUCGCAUUAAGUGAUGAACUACUUUAUUGUUACAAUUGUAAUGCCUGCUAUCCUUCAUAUUUAUAGUUUCCAUGUAAUGUGUGUAUUUCCUAUAUAUUUCCUGUACAUUUAUUGAGUGGAUAUAUGUUUAUGAUACAUUUGAGAAAUUACAUGUGCACUAUGGGUUACCGCUGUUGAAAGCAGGCCUUAAUUGUGAUGUGUCUAUUCCUUGUUAAAUCCGGGUCAAAGAUCUUGUACUAGGAUGUCAGGGAUUAUGGAUUAUUCUCCGUUAACAUUCUGUGUUUCGAUAUGAAUUUGUUCUCCUGUGAUGAAUGUGGAAAUGAAUAAGCAAAUGAUGUUAGUGGGUGAACCUGUGUUUAUGGCCUGGUUUACUUAUGACACAAAGGAAUCACUGCAAGCAAACAGCAGUCUGAAUUAAUUCAUUAAAUUUAUGCAUAAAAUUUUACCUGUGAUACUAUGGCAUGCUCCACUAACAUGCUGUUCUCUGCUGGGGAUCUUUCAACAUUGUGUUAAUACUCUUUAUUUUCAGCUGAUGAAAGGGAUGUGAAGAUUUACUUUUUAUCUUGCACUGAGUCUUAGUCUUCAUACUUUCACUGAGAGAUUUGUUUUCCAUUGUUUAUUUUUGAAACCAUACUUAAAUUGAGAAUACUAAUUUGCAGAGGAUUUAAAGGGAGAAAGGUUAAGAACACAAGAAUACUUGAGAUAAAAUAUUUUGACAAUUAAUUAAAAUAGAUUUUCCUUUUUUCUUUUGUCAACACAAUAACGUGAUCUGUUGAAUUUUCAUACUUAAACCUCCAUAUUCUGUGUGAUUUUUAUAGAUUUAAGUAUCCUUCAAUGUGAGAAGCUAUAGCAAGAUCAGUAUCAGAUUACUUAUGUGCCAUAGUUUUGAUGUAUAAUGGGGUAAAAUCUUUGAAUGUUAGGCUAUAUUACUACGCUAUAUUCAAAUGUUAGGCUAUAUUAAUACACUAAAUGUACUAUUUUUCAAGCUUUUACUUUGUACUUAUUUUUUGUACAGGACCAAGUUGAUCCUUGGUGUAGUCCAUUAAUGAGUGGAAGUAUACUAGGAUGAACUUAGCUUGUAAGAUGGAAUGAGGCAAAAAUCAUACAGAGAUUUUUCUACAAAAUCAGCAUGUAAGCCUAUAAAACAAGGAGUUACACUUUAAAGCUUGAUAACUGGACUGUGAAAUACCCUUUUUUUGUCUGAUAAACAUAUAAUGCCUUGUCCAUGACUGCAGAGAAUACGUUUCCAUCUGUUUUGACAGGUUUCACAAAUAUUAUUUGUUCUUGCUUUUUUCCUUUUCUUUCUUUCUUUCCUUCCCCCCCCCGCCCCCCGAAAUCUACUAGGCAUCUUUUGAAGAGCAAGCUUCUUAAAUCUUCACAAAUCUUAUUAUGCAGCUCUUUAAUUGCACAAGAAUACCACUUACAGUGCAAAAACUAAGCAUUAACAGCACCAAAUUGUGAAACUUUGUCAUUGUUAAUAAUAGAUACAGUACGAUUUAGAUACUAUUUGAAAAAUCAUCAUUAUUUCAUUUUACUCGCACCUUAACUGCUUUAUGAUGAGGUAACAAUUCACUUUCAUGUUUCGUACUAUAAUUUAUAGAGUUAUGGUUUGAAAUACAGGUUAUAAUGUAAAUCUAAAAGAUAACUCAUUGGGUGAGUUUCAUCUGUGAGACGAUUAUUUACAAGUUCUUAGCUUGGAAACAUGUAUCAUGUGUUCAGUGUUUGGUUCUUUGAUGAACCACAGUGUCAAUUUUGACCCUUCUUACAAGAUUGAAGAAGAGCUAUUUCAAUAUAUAAUAUGGGGACAUCAAGACAAUGUCUUUAUUUUACAAAACUUAUUUAAUAUGGCUUCAAGAUGAGAAAUGAUUUAACAGGUUUCAGCCCAGUCAUAAAAAUACCUGUCUCUCCCCUUUGCUCUUCCACCCCACCCAUAAAUGUUCCUGGAGGUUUAUCUGAAUCCUCACCUUUAGCAGUCCUUCUAACAUGAGGAACUGAUCUGGUUACAGACUUAUGUUGUGAAAGUGUGUUCUCUCCUGCUUUCCUUGUAUACUUGCAAAGAAAUUUCAGACUAUUUGUUUGCCCACAGAGGCACAGGCUAUGUUUUUAAUUUGGAGGGGAAAGGAAGCUGGGGCCUCUUUUUUCAGAAGUAAUUUUUUUGCUUUUAAAUUAAUGAUCAGUAAUUUAUAUCUGCUAUGCCCAUACUUAAAAUUUUUCCAAAAAGUAGGAAAAACAUUUUUUAAAAAUGAUGAAAUUAUGACUUCAAAUAUUUGACUUUGUUUGAAAACCUAAAUUCUAGGCUUCUCUGAUUUUAGUAAUAGAAAUAGUAAUUAUUAUUUGUAAUUUAAGUCCUUUCAUGAAUUAUUUCAGUAUAGCAAAAAAAUUUUCGUACCAGAAUCCUGUAUAUUCUCUUCUUAAAAUACUCCUAAGCUGCAUUUAAAAGCUCAGGGCUUUUUCUUUGCAUUUACUAAGUCAUCUUAAGAAUGAAACUGAUAUUAGAAAAUCAAAGGCUAGUUUGUAUCAAUAGAGUAUGCUGCAGACAAGCUUGCAUGAUUUGAGUAUGCUGCAGACUUAAAAAAAAAUAUAUAUAUAUAUAUAUAAACAUGUACAUAUAUAUGUAUAUAGCAUGCCCCUAAAACUCAGUGCAAGAGUGAACAAGCAUGUAGAAAACUAAGAAUGAAGUCAAGAAUGUAUAUUUGCUAAUUAUGGGUUCUGCAUUGAUUUAUCUGAUGAGUUGUUGGGAUUUUCUCAUGUAUUCAGUUAUUAAGCAUUUUUUAGCUUCUUUGUGCUGUUUACUUUAUAUAGAAAGCAGUGUAGAUAAAAUGAAUUUCUGAGGUGACUUUACCUUGUCCUGUCUUUACCAAAUACAAAAUAAUUAAGAAAUUUUCUUUUACUUUUUGCCAUUAUCUGUACAUCUUUUCUUUUCUCUUUUGAGACUCUUUUGGCUUUGAUCCAAAUUUCUCUCACACAAGCGGAUCCCAUCUUCUUAACAGAUUUGGGCCUCAUUUUCUAACAGCAAAAAAAAGAAAAAAUUAAGCAAUUCUCUCUAAUCAUGCUGAAAAGAUCAGUUAUUAAUAUAUUUUGACUAGGUAUAAUUUUCACUGAUACCUAUAUUGGCAUUGGUUCUGUACUGGCCAGAAGCACUGUGCCUUUGGUAGUAAUUUGAUGGCAGCUGUGAGAAGAGCAUGAUGUUACAGUCCAGUUUCUUUUCUAGACUGCUUUUGCAAAUAUUGCCUACAUAUACCCCUCCCAGUUCUUUGAUUGCUGCAGCACAAAUAUGAACCACUUUUUCUAUAGGCGUACCUAUUAGGAAGAGUAAUGUAAGAAUCGGCUGGAGGUUGCCACUUUGCCUUUGUCUGAUGCUCUCGUGAGCUUUCAGGGACCAGUCGUUCCAUUAGCAUCAGUGAGCUUUGGAGCUUUAAGCCUUGGAGGCUUCACCAGUUAUUUAUCUUUCUUCUUAGUAGGAAACUUCUGAAAUCCUUUCAGCAUCUUCGUGUUCUUUGAAGAAGAAAGUUUUUUUUUCUGUAAGCUGGAGUGCAUGCAUGUGCAAGGUGUAGCCAGAGUCGACUAGACCAAUAGCACCUUCCUGCCGCUAGUUCUGAUGGGCAUAGUGGCUGAAAAAACCCACCCUUUUGGAACAGUAUUUUAGUGGCAGAAUUGAGUAAUUUUGCUGUGGCAAGAGUAUUUCAAUUUCUAAAGCUGUCUGUGAGGAACACUUCAGGAUCCCUAAAGUGAUUUAAAAUACGUUAGGUAGAUGAAUGAAAUGUGAAACAUAUAAAGUAGUAUUUUUCAGCUUAGUUUUUCAUAACACAGAGAUAAACAUUUUUGCUGUGUCACUAGACCGACAGUUCAUUUAAUCAGGUACCUUGUCUCAGUCAGUGCCAGAUAUUUUACAGGAAGCCAAGCUGUAAUAAAGCAUUCUAUACAUACAGGGGAAGAAAAUAAUUUUUCCUAAUCUAUCAGAGAUUCCAAAUCUAGCUAGAGAUCUUAGUCUUUGAAGCAUGAGAAAUAAGAAACUGUGUACAUUUAGCUGUGUAAGUUUAGUAAAGCACAUGUAUUUUUUUAUGACAAUUUCUGUCCUUAAGUACACAUGCACAUAUUCCCAAGUAGACAAUACUGUCCUUAAGGGCAUUUAGUUGUCAGUGAAGCAAGUGUCAGCUUUGUGUAGAAAAGAAUUAAGCUUGCGAUUUUGGCCAUUUCUGUCAGAAAUAUUUUAUUCCAGUCUGUUUAUCAGGUUAAUUAUAUGUUGAACAGCAGAAUGCUUGCUUUCCUCCAUGUAUUAAACACACAUUUGAAAAAUGCGUUUCCAUAGCAUGUUAGGAAGGCUUACCUGAUAACAUGUGAUUGGCCUUUUUAAUUGUUUUCUAUGUUCUUUCUGUCCUUCAGCUUAGUCAUGACAUACUGUUCAGCUCAGCAUAGAUGUUCUAACAUGGAUAAGUAUGGAUUUUUGGUCAGGUGUCCUGUUUUGAAGGUUUGGAGCUUUAACUUCUGUUUUCAGUGAAAAUCCUGAGAGCUUUUAGAUACCCCUGAGAAUGAGGAUAGAACUUUGAAUUCACUGUGACAAAUGUUGAUUGGUUUUCACAACUUAAGCUGUAUAUGAAAUGAAUGUUCCUAAUGACUGGCAGAUAAAUCCAUAGCAAAUUUUACGUAAUAUCUGUAAUGGCAAUUCUCUUUUUCUUUGCAAAGAAUUUUUUUUUCUCUCUUUGAUUUGACUGUUGCUGCUUUCAGGGAAGGAGAUCCUUUAUAUAACUUGUGCGCUGAUGGGCUUAAAUUACAGUAGAAUUUUGAGCUGCAUAUAUCAUUCUUGUUAUGAUCAAAGCUUGUUUCUGUUGUUAGGAAUGGGAGGUGCAUAGGUGAAAAUUGUAGCACAUAGCUUAAAACGUUUCCAGGUGAGGAGAAAAAAAAAGAGGAAACUCAGUAUACUACAAUGCAGUCAUCUUCACACGCUUCAGAGAAAUGUUAUUGACAUUUAGGUCCAUAGUUGAGAACUGAUACUCUAAAAACAAAUGUUUAUAAAUUAUCCUUAAAAUUGAAGUUUGUGGAAGUAUGGCUGUUGAUUACAAUGAACACACGACCCAGAUCCAACUUGUAAAAUAGCUCCAGGGGGCAGAGAGAGAAUUAAAGAGAUGUUUGCCUUAUCUGUCAUAUGAGUUUGUUGGAGUUCAAUAGAAAAAAUUCUGUAAGAGAUGUUUUUCUAUCCCAAUUCACAAAAUUAUUAAGCAUGUCUAUAAUUGUGGAUCAGUUGAAUGUACUUGGCUCUCUUGGGAGUUUCCCAUUUUCUCUCAUUCUGUUUGACCACUACUUAGGCCUGGACCUCCCCCCUCUCCUUUCAAAUCUCUUCCACUGAAAUGUUAACAACAAAGUGAUUCUUUGAGAUUUAUUUGGUUGCUCCUUCCUUUCCUGCCGCUUUCUGUCAGAGUUUGCAAAUUCUGGCUGUAAUGUGUGCUUCUGUUUUGUAUGUUCAUUUCUGCAAACUGAAGAUUUAAUUGCAUAUCUGAAUAGCUGCACUUUCAGAACUGCUGCUCAUUCUGUCUACUGAGAGAGAUAGGAGAAGUAGAGACAUGGAAAAUAUUAGCUGAACAUCUUCACUCUCUGUCCUGAUUCUGAAAUACGGAUUUUUUUUUUUUUCCCACCUAGUCUGAGACACCAGGAAGUGGUCUUCCCUGGAAGUGUUUUGCUACUUAUGUCCAAUUCAUACUUUGAGACAAAAUCUUUUGGUCAAAUAUGCAAACAAGGAAAUAAGCACAACAGUCAACACCUUUAUUGCAGAUUUGUUCUAUCUGUUUGCACAUAGCACUGUACAUAGAAAACAUUGGUUUAUGUAUGAUGAUGUAAUGUGAAGCCGCAGGUGAGCUGUUGUAUUUAAGUGACAUCUGUCUGGCCUCAUUGAUAGCCAGUUAGAAGUAUGCUUGUAUUUUUUUGUAGGUGGUAUUUUAUUUUCUUCUAAUUGUGAAGCACCUGAUCUGGCAGAUUAAAAAAUAAAGUUAGCCAAAUAUUUUGUUUUGCAGUUGCAAAUAUUUUAAUAUAUCUGUCCUUCAUUUGACCUCCUUAGAAAUGUAGGCCAGGCUGCUUCAGUGGGUUUAUGGCAGUCUAGCUUCCUCCUUCAUAUACAGUUAUUGCACAUUUGUAGAAUGCUUUGUAAGGGUAAUGUGGGGAUUUUAAGAGAUUAUCAACAAAGCACAAUAACUUCUGCCCUUCAUUGAAAAAAUUUAGCCAAACUCUGAGUUGAAAAUGGUAACUCCUUUUGCUUAAUCCUUUAUUAAAAAUAAUUGUGCCUUGAAUUUGAAGAAACAUCUGCUGUGUUUUGGAGAGGCACAGAAAUCCAGUCUGUCUGUUUGUUCCUGUAUAUGUUGAGCUCUCUCUGUGUGUGUAUGUCUGUAUGGGUGUCUGUGCAAACUCCUUCUCUGUUUUAUCCUACUGUUAGGGGAAAUAUCUGGUAUAUAGUAUCAGAGAAAGUAGAGAAUUCUUGUGUAACAUGGUUUUGGUAUUUUCUUCCACGGAAGACACUUAAAAUAGGUUAUCCAAUGCCAUUUUCUUCAUUGUUUCUGGAAUGCUUUGAGUGUCAGUUUUUCUGGGAAUUAUAGAACUUUUUUUUUUUAAAGCUUUGCAUUAAUUCCUGUUGCAUUUUGAUUUGAAGCUCAUGAAUGUGUUCUGUUGAACUGAGGUUACUCUAAUUUCUAUUAAAUCUGUUGCUUCUGUAGGUAUUGCUGGGCAGAAGCACUAGCUAUACCAAGAGUAAUACAGUCAAAAGCUGGAUAGGGGCAUAGUUUGCACUAAAUUUGCAAAUUUGCAUAUGUACCUUAUUCCUGAGUUAGCUUUCAUUCUGAUCCAGGGCCCCUUUAGUGGAAACUGAGAGGCAUAAAUUGUGCUACGUGGUAUAUUUGUUUUUCAUAAUUAGGUUUUUAAGUCUAGAAAAUGGUAGUUAAUAUGCUGAGCAGGUUAUAAUAGAUCAAUCCAUUAAGUGUUGUCUAGGAUGGUUGUAUUUAGUAAAAAGGAGCUCUGCCUAUCUGGUGAUUUGAGGUAGCUUCUGUUAUUACAUAGAUUCAUAAGUAGCAAGCAUUUCAGAGGGCUAGGAGAGUGAAGUAGCCAGUCUUAAUUAAAAAAAAAAAUAAGUGUCAAAAGAAACAAAGUAGAUUUUACUUAAUAAUGGAAAUGUGAUACUAUGGGUAUUUGCCGGUCAAGAUAGAACAUCUCAUCUUGUGAUGGGAAGCAUCUUUUUAUUUUUACAACUCUGCACCAAGAGUUUAUAAAUUGUUUUUUUUUUUAAAAAAAAAAGUUAAUAUCCUGGUGAUGCUUUCCAAGAGAAAUAUCUGGCAUCUGUAAAAUCAGAAUUAAUUUUUAUUUUGGCAGUCACCUUCACCUUGAACAUAGAGCAUGCAUGUUGAAGAAGUUCAUAACUGGUCAUAUGUCUUUUGUUGAACAAUUACAGUCAGAUCAGUCAAUUGAGCUGUCAGUUACACAUUUUCCCCUACCCCCGCUCCAGUCUUAAACGCUCUGUUUUCCUGUGUAGGGAGUUGAUUCCUUUCAUAGUGUAUCACUACAAUGUCUUCUGCGUAGUUGGCAGUGCUGUGGAAGGAAUGGCUGCAGUUAGGUUCAACUGAAUGUAGAACUUAAUCCAAACCCGUCUUUAAUCUGAGGUGGUUAUGUGCAAAAUUUAAAACUUCAAAAUCUGAUCCAGAAGCAAAAAAAGGUAAGACUCACUGGAUGUUUGCUGGGUUGAGUGAGCAUGUGCAUGAAUUUUGGCAGAGAUGUAAGGCAGAUUGAGGAAUAUAUCAAACCCUGAUGGUAAACCUAAUUCAGGGUUGUUUUGUGUAUAGUCUGCAGGCAGUUGUACAGCCCUUCAGAACAGCUUGUCCAAUCCUGUGGCUUCUUACCUGUGAAGCUCUUAAAGACAUGUAAAUUGAUUUGUACAGCAUUAUGGGCAAUGAAUUGCAUCAUGUGGUAGGAAGUUGUCUGCUGCACAUUGUCCUUUCCCUGUGCAACAGUGAGCAGUGUACCUUGCUCAGCAAGGAAGAUUAACAGACCUUGAUGUAACUGGAAAGGGUAACAUACCUGUGCAGUGAAGUUUCUUCAUUUGAACACGUAAGAGGAAGAGAAAUGAACUUAAUGUAUAAAGCUCAUGUGUUUGUAGCAAGAAAACUAUUGCGUGUGUUUUCAGAACUUUGUUCCUGAUGUAAUUAUAGUCAGGAACUGCUUACUUGUAAAUUUUCCGCAAUGUGAAUGCAAGUGUUGCAGCAGUAGUCACGUUGCAUAUUCAUGUUGCUGCAUGAACAGAUGGGGUUCCUACAUAAUAUCCAUAUUUGACAGUCUGAUGGGAUUUGCCAAGCCUAAGCUUUCAUUUAAAUUUUAACCUCUUGAAGAAAUAGGUUUGUGAUUUAAUCAGUCAAGAGAGGCAUUGAAGUUACUUGUAUUGCAUAGCAGAAUUCAAGCCCGUGCUUACAUGUGAUUUUGGUUUGGGAGAUUUCUUGUAGGAAUGGGCAGGAUACUGCUUAUUAGAAUAAAUAGUCAUCAAUUUAAAAGAUACCUCUUGAAGCCUUAUUCAUUUGGCUGAUUUUUAUUCAUAUCCUUCAAUAAAGGAAGAUCUGUUUUAUAAAACAUCAUGUAACAUUGAUGAAGUUCUGUUGCUGUGGUACUGCAUUGCAGGAAGGACUAUGUACUUACUAUAGGGUAGGUGACCUUUAGUUUCCCUCAGGGCAGCUCCAACUGAAGUUCAGUUAUUGGUGGCACUGAACUUCAGUUAUUAAAUCUGGCUGUAAGAUUUGUUUGCUACUUUCUUUUCCAGAAGGGUGUCACAAAUAGGCGUCUCCAAGGUGCAAGUAAAUUUCAGUGCUGAAAAAACCCUUAAAAACUGCACAUUUUGACUAUUUGUGAAGCACUUGAUCCAGGAAAAUGUGAAGAUCCCCCUCUUAGUGUUUUUUUUAUACAGUGUGCACCAUUCCUUAAAGUUAAAAAGUAAAACUUGUAUAGGAUUGAUCGCUUAGAAUUUGCUUUCUUUAUACAGCAUGAACAGGUAUGAAAUUUUGAAUAGAUUUGCCUUGCUGUAUUCACAUGCAACUACCUGCCCAUCUGAGCGUAAUGUAAGAAAGCAUUUUUCCAAGGCUGUUAUUAGUAUCACUACCUCGAAAGAAUGAAAAGGUUGCAGAAGAAAUAUAUGAAAAUACAUAGAGAGAUGAGAAAAGAGAUAAAAAGCAUAGACACCUUUUUUUUUUUUUUUCUCCUGGAUGUUUUUUGUUUUUUCUUCCUUGAAUAUUAGCAGUGGUUUCUAUUUAAAAAUGAUGUCAAUGGGAUAUGAUUCGAAUUCAAAUGUUUAUCUUAUAGAAGCAGUUAGUGUGGAUAUUCAUCACUUACAUUUACUAAAUUUUAGCAUGUUAAAAACAUUUCUAGUUGCUUCCCAGUAUUUCUUUUCUAAAGCUUCCCAGUAUUCUUUCAAUACUGUAGAAGUGUAAGUUUUAUAAGAUGAUGUGCUGGUGCUGGGUGGAGGAACAGCCAAAACUUGUAGACGUUUCUUUUAAACUUGUAGCAUUUUAUGGUCUUACAUAUCCCUUGUACAUUUUUGCAGCGGGGUGAGGGGAAUUCACCAGUAUAGCCUCAAGUGUUUCCAUAUUAGAUGCGAAAACAGAUCCAGCAGAGCUUGUGUGUACCCAGCCAGCUAAUUUGCUGUAGGAAAAUGUUUCAUGCUAAAACACUUAUUAACUAAUGUAAUUUUACUUGUAAUGAGGGCAAGAAUAAAUGUCUUAAAUCAUGCUAAUCACAAAUAAACAAAAAUUUAUCUAUCUAAAUUAAGUAAUAAAUCGCAUUCAAUGCUGUGUUAAUCAAAACAUGUUUCCUAAUGAGUUUCAUUUUUUCAGAGUAGUAGUAGCUUAUGUGUGGUCCAUACCUGUUCUGAAUAAAUGUGUGUUAAUGUUACAGAUGUUUUGGGGACCAGACUGAUGACUCAGCUAGUUCUGCAUGCUGAUGGUAGCAAGCUCAACAUGUCUCAGAUAUAAUUUUAGGGGACUUGAAGUAAGGGGACAUGGGCAAGGGCCCACAAAUUAGGUGCAAAUCUGUAACAGGUGGAGAUCUUCUAAUCUCCAAAUCAUGAGGUUUAAUAUUCCUUCCACAUCGUUUCGUGUUAGUUUUAUUAUGGUCAUGGGAUAUUCUACUAGCUGUAUAAAUCUCAUGAAGUUGUUAAAUUGCAGCAGCUUUCCUACUCAAGGCACAGAAUAUUUGAAAACGUAUUUGCUUUGUCUUCUUUAAAUAUGAUUGAUUCCCCUCUAUCCCCCAACUAUUUUUCUGUUUUAGCUGAAGAAGGUUAGAGGAAAAUCUUGAAUAGUAGGAACUGAUUGUUAUAGAUUAAUAGUGUUUAGCAAUAGUCAAAACAAAAAUCAAAUUUAGAGGCAAGUUUUUUUCUUUGGUGGUCUGUUCUUAUUUUCUUUAUCUCAUGUAACAAUUUUGGUUUAGUUAAAACUGAUAAUACCUAUCACUUUCAAAGCACAUUUAGCCACAGUCAGACUUCUACAGGAUGAGAGGACAUCUGAGCAUCUGACUGUAUGUGUUGGCCUUAAGUGAAAAAUAGGAAAUAAAAUUAAAGUGAUCUCCAGGGUGAAGCUGAGUCCUUUGACAGAGAAAAUCAUCUGAUAAAGUAAUUGUGCUCCAUCUUAAUUGAGGGGUGAGGGGCAUAGUUCUUUUUGCUUAACUGAAGAGAUAAUUUGGUACUGCAGUCUUAGUUAGAAAAUUUUUCUGAUUUACAGGCUACAUUUGUUCAUGUUUUUGUUCUCUGUGCUAACGUUGUCCUUUAAGUAAUUCUUCAUCCUCUGUCAGUGUAUUUAUUGAGGGCCAGCUUGUUUCCAUUCCACCUUUGUUUUCAACAGCGAUCAUUCUUUAGCUUUCUCUUGUACAAUAGAUCUGCCAUUAUUAUGUUCAUCCUUCCUUAUGUAUGCUCUCUUCUAGGUUAAUUUUUAUUUAUGGGCAUCUGGAGUGGGUGAUCAAAGUUUGUCAGAAAUUUCAGAUGAGGUCUCAUGAACGGCUUUAGUAGUUGCCCGUGUCUCCCUGGGAGGAUCUUGUCUCGUAAAUUCCAGGAUGUAUGUACCCUGUUGGUGAUUGUAGCCAUUCUCUUGAUUUAGAGAUUUUCUUGUCUUCCAUCUUUUUUUCCCUGCAGAUCUACCUAAUGGAAUAAUUUUAAUUAGUCCCCAAAAUGAAAGACAGUGACUUGCAAUUCCUAUUAGAGGAAUCGAUCCAGCCUGGAAGAAUUCUUCAGAGUAAUGUUUGAAAUGAUUUACCAUACACAACCAGUAACUGAUACAUAUAGAUGUAUGUAGGCACUUUUUUUUUUUUCUUGUACUGUUUCUCAAGAUCAUGAGUAUUUGAGAACUCUGUCAAAAAACAGUUCUUCCCAUCACAGGAAUGUAAUUCAGUUUCUGACAUGGUAGCUUUCCACAGCCUGCUGUUACUCUCACCUCUGUGCAAGGUCUAGUGGAAACUGCUGUGAAAAUAGCUCCAUGAAAUGAAGCUAAAUUAGGAAUCAUUUCUGUUGAGUGUUGCCUUUGGUUCUGCAACCACAGAUGUUCUUCUGUUUAACAAAAUGGCUAAAGAAAAAUGAAAACAAACUGUGCGUGUGUACUUUCAGCAGCUUAGUUCAUUGUUUAAAGAAAAGUUGUAUUGAUUCAUACCCUGAAUAAAUUGAAACUUACUUUCAAAAUGAA